RNAcentral lists this ribosomal RNA (543 nucleotides) under uncultured bacterium. Its description in RNAcentral is "partial 16S ribosomal RNA". It matches the Rfam family "Bacterial small subunit ribosomal RNA", at positions 355 to 887 of the family's 1533-position model. The record is from RNAcentral.
UGGGGAAUAUUGCACAAUGGGCGCAAGCCUGAUGCAGCCAUGCCGCGUGUGUGAAGAAGGCCUUCGGGUUGUAAAGCACUUUCAGCGAGGAGGAAGGUGGUGAACUUAAUACGUUCAUCAAUUGACGUUACUCGCAGAAGAAGCACCGGCUAACUCCGUGCCAGCAGCCGCGGUAAUACGGAGGGUGCAAGCGUUAAUCGGAAUUACUGGGCGUAAAGCGCACGCAGGCGGUUUGUUAAGUCAGAUGUGAAAUCCCCGGGCUCAACCUGGGAACUGCAUUUGAAACUGGCAAGCUAGAGUCUCGUAGAGGGGGGUAGAAUUCCAGGUGUAGCGGUGAAAUGCGUAGAGAUCUGGAGGAAUACCGGUGGCGAAGGCGGCCCCCUGAACGAAGACUGACGCUCAGGUGCGAAAGCGUGGGGAGCAAAACAGGAUUAGAUACCCUGGUAGUCCACGCUGUAAAACGAUGUCGAUUUUGGAGGUUGUGCCCUUGAGGCGUGGCUUCCGGAGCUAACGCGUUAAAUCGACCGCCUGGGGAGUACGGCC